This 274-nucleotide ribosomal RNA is filed under the name uncultured bacterium. RNAcentral describes it as "partial 16S ribosomal RNA". It matches the Rfam family "Bacterial small subunit ribosomal RNA", at positions 523 to 796 of the family's 1533-position model. The record is from RNAcentral.
AUACGGAGGGUGCAAGCGUUACUCGGAAUCACUGGGCGUAAAGCGCGCGCAGGCGGUCUUUUAAGUUGGAUGGGAAAGCCUACGGCUCAACCGUAGAACUGCAUCCAAAACUAUUAGACUAGAGUGUGGGAGAGGAAGAUGGAAUUAGUUGUGUAGGGGUAAAAUCCGUAGAGAUAACUAGGAAUACCAAAAGCGAAGGCAAUCUUCUGGAACACUACUGACGCUGAGGCGCGAAAGCGUGGGGAGCAAACAGGAUUAGAAACCCCAGUAGUCC